RNAcentral lists this transfer RNA (72 nucleotides) under Candidatus Magasanikiibacteriota bacterium. RNAcentral describes it as "tRNA-Arg". It matches the Rfam family "tRNA". From Rfam's summary of the family: Transfer RNA (tRNA) molecules are approximately 80 nucleotides in length. Their secondary structure includes four short double-helical elements and three loops (D, anti-codon, and T loops). Lineage: Bacteria; Candidatus Magasanikiibacteriota. The record is from RNAcentral. RNAcentral also lists the same sequence under 1 other name.
GCCCUCAUAGUUUAGUGGAUAGAACAUCGGUCUUCGGAACCGAGAACGGGAGUUCGAUUCUCUCUGAGGGCA